CGGAUAAAAGGUACUCCGGGGAUAACAGGCUGAUACCGCCCAAGAGUUCAUAUCGACGGCGGUGUUUGGCACCUCGAUGUCGGCUCAUCACAUCCUGGGGCUGAAGUAGGUCCCAAGGGUAUGGCUGUUCGCCAUUUAAAGUGGUACGCGAGCUGGGUUUAGAACGUCGUGAGACAGUUCGGUCCCUAUCUGCCGUGGGCGCUGGAGAACUGAGGGGGGCUGCUCCUAGUACGAGAGGACCGGAGUGGACGCAUCACUGGUGUUCGGGUUGUCAUGCCAAUGGCACUGCCCGGUAGCUAAAUGCGGAAGAGAUAAGUGCUGAAAGCAUCUAAGCACGAAACUUGCCCCGAGAUGAGUUCUCCCUGACUCCUUGAGAGUCCUGAAGGAACGUUGAAGACGACGACGUUGAUAGGCCGGGUGUGUAAGCGCAGCGAUGCGUUGAGCUAACCGGUACUAAUGAACCGUGAGGCUUAACCUU
RNAcentral lists this ribosomal RNA (478 nucleotides) under Escherichia coli. RNAcentral's name for it is "partial 23S ribosomal RNA". It matches the Rfam family "Bacterial large subunit ribosomal RNA", at positions 2453 to 2925 of the family's 2925-position model. Lineage: Bacteria; Pseudomonadati; Pseudomonadota; Gammaproteobacteria; Enterobacterales; Enterobacteriaceae. The record is from RNAcentral.